GAUGAACGCUGGCGGCGUGCCUAAUACAUGCAAAUCGAGCGAACGGACGAGAAGCUUGCUUCUCUGAUGUUAGCGGCGGACGGGUGAGUAACACGUGGAUAACCUACCUAUAAGACUGGGAUAACUUCGGGAAACCGGAGCUAAUACCGGAUAAUAUUUUGAACCGCAUGGUUCAAAAGUGAAAGACGGUCUUGCUGUCACUUAUAGAUGGAUCCGCGCUGCAUUAGCUAGUUGGUAAGGUAACGGCUUACCAAGGCAACGAUGCAUAGCCGACCUGAGAGGGUGAUCGGCCACACGAGAACGGAGACACGGUCCAGACUCCUACGGGAGGCAGCAGUAGGGAAUCUUCCGCAAUGGGCGAAAGCCUGACGGAGCAACGCCGCGUGAGUGAUGAAGGUCUUCGGAUCGUAAAACUCUGUUAUUAGGGAAGAACAUAUGUGUAAGUAACUGUGCACAUCUUGACGGUACCUAAUCAGAAAGCCACGGCUAACUACGUG
Molecule: ribosomal RNA, 497 nt
Filed under: uncultured bacterium
Lineage: Bacteria
Description: partial 16S ribosomal RNA
Rfam family: Bacterial small subunit ribosomal RNA
Source: RNAcentral